Molecule: long non-coding RNA, 896 nt
Organism: Neopsephotus bourkii (Bourke's parrot)
Lineage: Eukaryota; Metazoa; Chordata; Aves; Psittaciformes; Psittacidae
Exons: 4
Source: RefSeq, a predicted model, not a curated record
CAUCUCUCUGCAUGAAAGGUGAAGAUGGAGAAACUCCCUGCAAGAGGACUGUGGGCAGUGCAUGGCUGUGAGCAACAACAGGAGGAGCACAGGAGGCAUUUUCAAAGCCAUGAUCAGGGGAAAUCCAGCUUCUCCGUUUUCAGGUUGCACUAUCCCAAGUGGUGGCCACAGAGAUGUGCCACCCAUUUUGCAGUCUCUGUUUCAACAGUAAUGAUCUCCAGCUGAAGGAUGGGAAGAAGCUGGUAAUGGUAAUAUAAAUAGCCCCAGUAUGGGCUGGCAGCCCUCCUCUUGAGUCCCACCUUCAGUGACAUUCUGAAUACAUGCUUUUCUGGGAUUUGGUUUGCACUGUGGGUCUGCAAAGAGCUGAACCACAACACUGCAGGAGCUGGAAGUGGUGACAGCGAUGGAGGAGUGAGCCAAGGAACAAGGGCUCUUUUCAACCUAUGGAAUUCUGCGCGCUACUUUGAAGAGGGCUGCAAAAGAUCACAAAGACAAGGAAGCUUAUUGUCAGUAGAUUUAAAUGAGCUAUCCAGGGGUCUGUGAUUCCAAGGGAAAGCUUCAGGAGUUGAUUAUAAAGUUGUAAGGCAGCUCGAUCCAUUAAAAUCCACCCAUCUUUGUAAUCCUUGGACUGACAAACAUCCCUCUGGCAGGACCUGUGCAGCUGAACUCUUUGUCACUGAAUAUUGUGGAUUCAAGAUGCUGCUCUGUCCCCUAUGCUGGGAAAUCCAUGUGGAAACCUCUAACAUGGUACCGGAUACCAAUGGACUGGGCUGGAAACCAAACCUUUGCUUUAGAGAAGCUGGAGUAGCUGGGACCAUACAGCCCAUUCAGUUUUGUAGCAAGGUCAUUCCUUUGUCCCCAGGAUGCAUGAGUAGGUACACAGUGUUCUCCCCAGA